UCCACCCGUCUCAGCCUCCCAAAGUGCUGGGAUUACUGGGGUGAGCUACCACGCCCAGCCCAGCUUGCACAUACUUUAGCUCAUUGGUCACCCUCCUCUCCCCAGUGGAAGCCCCAGGAACCUCUCAAGGCCCAGCUUCAGCCUCACCUUCCCUGUGGUCUUCUUCAAGCAGACCCAUACCAAGCUCUCUGUGCUUUGGAAACUGCCAGUGAGGUGAAGUGGGGAGGCAUCGGAGCGACAGCCACGUUGUAUGCCUGCUGCACGAGCCAGACCGCAGGACAAUACUCAAUGAGAGGCACCAACAUCCAUCCUGGCUGAGCUGAUGAUGGUGAGAGGCCACAGAGCCAUGAAAAUGACUUGGAGCAGCCUCCAUGUAUUCCUCAGGGUUGAAUCAUUGUGUGCACCACAGAGCAUUUGCUUUGUAAAAAAGCUAACACUGUGAAAAAUGGGGUAGGCACUUCCUGUUUUGACCAGGAACAAAUGCAAACCAGACCCUGCUCCUCUCACCAGGCAGAGCUUGCUCUUUCAAUUCAGAGAUAUCUUCAAGGACCCAAUUAUGCUGUGGUGCGGAAUGGAGCAUGUAUGUAACUGAGGUUCCUGCCAAAGACAUCAUCUCCUGGCUGAAUGGCAAGACUGGCCAGGACACCAGGAAACUGAGACUGAUUGGACACACAAGAAUGUGAGCUGGGUAAGCAGAAUGAAGGCCCUGGGCAUAACUUGAACACCCGAGGAACUUGAACCCAAGGCUGGCACAAAAGCCAGAAGGUGUUACUCUCCACCAGCUCAGGGAUUGUGAAGAUCUCUGUGCAGACUCCACUCUGCGGUUGGACAGCAUCCCUGAGACAUGCAUUUUGGAAAUUGUGAUCAACCAGAAUCCAGAACACGCUGUGCUUAAUGGAGUGAACUGCCUGUGAAGCGCAGGUGUGAGGGGCGGAUGAUAAGUGACAGUGCCGGUGCCCCCAGCGCCCUUUUACCUGAUGGCUCACCCGGCCUACAGCUGCGCCCUUCCCUUUGAAUCGUCUUGGGUAACGGGUGCUGCUUUGGAAAUGCCUGGAAGGUCAUGUCCUUUGUCUGGGGAUGGCUUCCAGCUGUGGUUGACUGAUAGCAGGGGGCACAGAAGGCCAGACACAACUUGCCUCAGGUGGGCCGACUCUGAGGGUUUGUUCGGCCUCCACGUGGACUUCAGCUGAGCCUGCAUCUUUGCUUGGCUUUUCCCACUGGCCUAUUCUGCUUCCCUCUCCUUAAGGGUUCUCCCAGGAGAACUCCCUUAAUAAAUCACUUGC
RNAcentral lists this long non-coding RNA (1283 nucleotides) under Homo sapiens (human). Its description in RNAcentral is "HSALNT0300566". The record is from RNAcentral. Lineage: Eukaryota; Metazoa; Chordata; Mammalia; Primates; Hominidae.